RNAcentral lists this ribosomal RNA (433 nucleotides) under uncultured bacterium. RNAcentral's name for it is "partial 16S ribosomal RNA". It matches the Rfam family "Bacterial small subunit ribosomal RNA", at positions 29 to 507 of the family's 1533-position model. The record is from RNAcentral.
AACGAACGCUGGCGGCAUGCCUAACACAUGCAAGUCGAACGAAACCUUCGUGUCUAGGGUCGCACGGCUGCGUAACGCGUGGGAACCUGCCCUUAGGUUCGGGAUAACUCCCCGAAAGGGGUGCUGAUACCGGAUAAUGUCUUGGUACCAAAGAUUUAUCGCCUUUGGAUGGGCCCGCGUUGUAUUAGCUAGUUGGUAGUGUAACAGCCUACCAAGGCUACGAUCCAUAGCUGGUCUGAGAGGAUGAUCAGCCACACUGUGACUGAGACACGGCCCAGACUCCUACGGGAGGCAGCAGUGGGGACUAUUGGACGAUGGGCGAAAGCAUGAUCCAGCCAUGCCGCGUGAGUGAUGAAGGCGUUAGGGUUGUAAAGCUCUUUUAAAAGGGAUGAUAAUGACAGUACCGUGAGAAUAAGCUACGGCUAACUACGUG